CAAUAGCGUAUAUUAAAGUUGUUGCAGUUAAAAAGCUCGUAGUUGGAUUUCAAGUCGUUCAGCCGGUCCGUCACCUAGUGGCGCGUACUUGUGCGUGUUUCGACUUUACUUUCGGAGAACACUUCGUGCUAUUAAGUUAGUGGCUGUGGGAUCCGGAUCGUUUACUUUGAAAAAAUUAGAGUGUUUAAAGCAGGCGUUUGCUCUUUGAAUACAUUAGCAUGGAAUAAUGGAAUAGGACUUAGGGUUUUUUCUAUUUUGUUUGGUUAUAGGACCUAAGUAAUGAUUAAUAGGGAUAGUUGGGGGCAUUUAUAUUUCAUUGUCAGAGGUGAAAUUCACGGAUUUAUGAAAGAUAAACUUCUGCGAAAGCAUUUGCCAAGGAUGUUUUCAUUAA
This 391-nucleotide ribosomal RNA is filed under the name uncultured eukaryote. Its description in RNAcentral is "partial 18S ribosomal RNA". It matches the Rfam family "Eukaryotic small subunit ribosomal RNA", at positions 592 to 976 of the family's 1831-position model. The record is from RNAcentral.